UAGGGAAUAUUGGACAAUGGGCGCAAGCCUGAUCCAGCCAUGCCGCGUGAGUGAAGAAGGCCCUCGGGUUGUAAAGCUCUUUUGUCCGGAAAGAAAAGCAUCGGGCUAAUACCCUGGUGUUCUGACGGUACCGGAAGAAUAAGCACCGGCUAACUUCGUGCCAGCAGCCGCGGUAAUACGAAGGGUGCAAGCGUUACUCGGAAUUACUGGGCGUAAAGCGUGCGUAGGUGGUUUGUUAAGUCUGAUGUGAAAGCCCUGGGCUCAACCUGGGAAUGGCAUUGGAAACUGGCGGACUCGAGUGCGGUAGAGGGGUGUGGAAUUCCCGGUGUAGCAGUGAAAUGCGUAGAGAUCGGGAGGAACACCAGUGGCGAAGGCGACACCCUGGACCAGCACUGACACUGAGGCACGAAAGCGUGGGGAGCAAACAGGAUUAGAUACCCUGGUAGUCCACGCCCUAAACGAUGCGAACUGGAUGUUGGGUGCAACUUGGCACUCAGUAUCGAAGCUAACGCGUUAAGUUCGCCGCCUGGGGAGUACGGUCGCAAGACUGAAACUUAAAUGAAUUGAC
Molecule: ribosomal RNA, 568 nt
Filed under: uncultured bacterium
Lineage: Bacteria
Description: partial 16S ribosomal RNA
Rfam family: Bacterial small subunit ribosomal RNA
Source: RNAcentral